This 195-nucleotide ribosomal RNA is filed under the name uncultured bacterium. RNAcentral describes it as "partial 16S ribosomal RNA". It matches the Rfam family "Bacterial small subunit ribosomal RNA", at positions 338 to 524 of the family's 1533-position model. The record is from RNAcentral.
CCUACGGGAGGCAGCAGUGGGGAAUUUUGGACAAUGGGCGAAAGCCUGAUCCAGCAAUGCCGCGUGUGUGAAGAAGGCCUUCGGGUUGUAAAGCACUUUUGUCCGGACAAGAAAUCCUUGGCUCUAAUACAGUCGGGGGAUGACGGUACCGGAAGAAAAAGCACCGGCUAACUACGUGCCAGCAGCCGCGGUAAU